Molecule: non-coding RNA, 221 nt
Filed under: Bacillota bacterium
Lineage: Bacteria; Bacillati; Bacillota
Description: Firmicutes bacterium T-box sequence
Rfam family: T-box leader
About the family: Uncharged tRNA acts as the effector for transcription antitermination of genes in the T-box leader family.
Source: RNAcentral
UGAAAGACAAGGAAGGGGAAAAUAGCAGACCCACUGCCAUCAGAGAGGAACGGUCAUCGGCUGAAAGCCGUUCCGGGAAACGGCUGCUUGGUUCGCCCUGGAGUUUCGGCGGGGAAAUACGCCGGCGGUUGGUCCACCGUUAUCAGACAAUGAAGUGCGUAUGGGUUUCUGUACGAAUGUUCGGGUGGUACCGCGGAAGAAUGUUGCCUUUCGUCCCGUUU